Podarcis lilfordi (Lilford's wall lizard) is the source of this 897-nucleotide non-coding RNA. The record is from the annotation of a GenBank genome assembly. NCBI's taxonomy places the organism in Eukaryota, Metazoa, Chordata, Lepidosauria, Squamata, Lacertidae.
AGUAGAGCUUCAUUCUUGGGAGCGGGUAGAAGCAGAAACUCUGGAGCAGGAAGACCCCUUAUUUAAAAAUAACAGGCUUUGAUAGAUAGCCAGAGAAGUCACACAGGCAAUGACUGAGCUCCUCUCUAAUUAGGAUCUACGUAAGAAUUGUUCUGAAUGUGGAGAUGCCUUUUAUAGUAAGUGCUGAUUAUGCAGGAGGGCGGGAAUGCCUGUUGGGGAGGUUAUAGACUCGCACUUCAGACUGGAGUCUAUUACAAUUUUUUAAUGGCAUGCUUUCCAUUUCCAGCUUUUGUUUCCAGUUCUCUAAUUGCACAUUAAUAUUAAUCGCUGCUCUCUGAACAUUCAAGGGGAAAUAAGGAAAUUCACUAACUAAGGUAAAUCCACUCCAAAAUGCCCAGUCACUUCAUUGUUAUUAAUCAUGUAUACAGCACAAGAAUUCUACAGAGUGCUUUAGAAUCCUUAUCUCAUUCAUUCUAACUCUGAUAUGACAGGAGUGCUCCACUGUGCAUUUCUCAUGAGAGAUUAAAAAGAACGAAGAAAUUCUCGGAGGCUGACAAGGAAACUCUCUGCCCAGUCAUUCACAAGUGGAGGCAUUGCAGAAAAAGAAAGCACCAUGGGAUACAGGAGCAAAGGCAGAUUUUUGGCUACCGUAUAUGGAAGCAUCUUUCCUGAUCACAAUUUAACACGAAUAGGUGUGUUUUAAAAGGGGUCUAAGGACAAAGUCAUUUUAUGUAUUUUACAGUGGAAUCCACUGUAUGUCAACUGAGAAGUAAAUUGCACUCAGCUGAAUUAUUCUUACUCAUUGUGUAUAGGAUGGUCAGCCAGAUAUGGCUGUUUCAGUUCUGGUGUUUUACUGUAAUAGGAAAUCAAAACAGUAAAGACAGCAUUUCUUUCUGA